AGGGUUAUAGCUCAGUGGUAAAGUACUUGCCUAGCAUGCAGGAGUCCCUGGGUUCUAUCCCUAGGAACACAA
This is a non-coding RNA of Ictidomys tridecemlineatus (thirteen-lined ground squirrel), 72 nucleotides long. The record is from Rfam. Lineage: Eukaryota; Metazoa; Chordata; Mammalia; Rodentia; Sciuridae.